UUUUUUUUAAACUGAUUAGUAAUUUAUGUGUUCCUGGUGUUGUGAUAAUUAUGGAGUGAGUUUUUAACGAUUUUAAAUUUAAAAAAUUCAAUAUUUUUUUAAUCCUUUUUUUAUGAUUCUAAAAUUAACAAUCCUGAAAUCGACAGACAAUCAACAAUGUUCGGAUUUUUUUCCCAUUGGUCAAUUACAUAAAAAAAAAAAAUAUGCGCAUGCAGAAAAAUUAAAGAACUACUGGUGCAUUUUUUUAAAAUAUUUUUUUUUUUAUAAUUUAUCGUUUUUACAAAAAUCGAAUAAUUUUUAGACGUCCGCAAACUUCAGGGUCAUAAAUUAACAUGAUAAUGAUAGUGAAGUUAGCCCUGUUUAAAAAUAUUGAUUGAAAAGAAUUAAAAGUGAUGAAAUUCGAAUUCUUUUCAAUAAUUUCAAUUGAUUUCAAUUUUUUUGUUUGUAUAUAUAGAUAUACAGUUUGCAUGGAGUGACCGCUUCUCAAUUAUUUUCAAUCAAUAUUUUUAAUCAGGGAGUCGACGUCUAUUAAUAUUUGGAUUAUUUUUUAAAAUGAUGGACUUAAGAAAAACAAAAUAUUUGAAAAAAGACACAGAAUUUUUUUAAUUUUCUACAGGUGCAUAUUUUUUAUUUUUUUUUUUCUUGUAAAUGAUUCAUUGAAAACAAAAUUCAAAAUUGACAAUUGUCUGCUAACUUCAGGAUCAUGAAUUUUUAAACUUAUUGUUGUUCCAAUGAGAGCUCGAGAUUUUUCCCCACUACUUUUUUUUGCGCCGCCAUUUUAAAAUUCAAAAAAACUGCGGUAGUGGGGAGGAAGAACUCUAGAGAAGGAACAAAAUCCAAACUCACCACUGGUCCGAGGCCACUAUCCAACUCAUUUCCUUUGUUUUCUAUUCAAAAUCCAUUUUUUUCUCUUCAUUUUAUAUUAUUUUAAAUAAACAUGGAUAUAUUUUUUAAAAAUAUAUGGAUCAGUCUGAAAAUUGUCUUCAUUAUUGAGAGCAAUAGCGCCAGACCAAAGACCUCGUUUACUCCUGUACUUGAGGAGAUUCUAGGUCUCUUUGAAGCUUGGAUGGGCAAGUUGAGUCAAGUGGUUGAGUAAAUCGGGCGGCCCUUGAACGAUGAAUUGACAAGUGGUGACUUGUAUAUAUACUUUUAUAUACACACAUCUCCUCCAGAGCACACAUACCUCGAUACCUAAAUAUACAUCCGUACACACAUACGUCGAUACACAAAGCUGUCGUAAAUAUAUUCAGUAACAGCCUUCGUUUCCGAUCAACACUUUCGCGUGUAGCUGACGUACAACACACUCGGAGACAUUAUAAUGAGAAACUGGUUUUGUAUUCAUCAGCGUACGAGAAAACAUUGAAAAAUACCGGGGUUUUAAUGUA
Molecule: long non-coding RNA, 1385 nt
Organism: Microplitis mediator
Lineage: Eukaryota; Metazoa; Arthropoda; Insecta; Hymenoptera; Braconidae
Exons: 3
Source: RefSeq, a predicted model, not a curated record